Molecule: transfer RNA, 84 nt
Filed under: Candidatus Nitrosopumilus sp.
Lineage: Archaea; Thermoproteati; Nitrososphaerota; Nitrososphaeria; Nitrosopumilales; Nitrosopumilaceae
Description: Nitrosopumilus sp. tRNA-Leu
Rfam family: tRNA
About the family: Transfer RNA (tRNA) molecules are approximately 80 nucleotides in length. Their secondary structure includes four short double-helical elements and three loops (D, anti-codon, and T loops).
Source: RNAcentral
GCCGAGGUGGUGAAAUUGGUAGACGCAACGGACUCAAAAUCCGUCGGGAGUAAUCCCGUGGGGGUUCGAUUCCCCCUCUCGGCA